This 488-nucleotide ribosomal RNA is filed under the name uncultured bacterium. RNAcentral describes it as "bacterial SSU rRNA". It matches the Rfam family "Bacterial small subunit ribosomal RNA", at positions 28 to 513 of the family's 1533-position model. The record is from RNAcentral.
GAUGAACGCUAGCGGCAGGCUUAAUACAUGCAAGUCGUGGGGCAGCAUGAGUAGCAAUACUUGAUGGCGACCGGCAAACGGGUGAGGAACACGUACACAACCUUCCUUCAAGCGGGGAAUAGCCCAGAGAAAUUUGGAUUAAUACCCCAUAAUAUAUUUGAUAAGGCAUCUUUUUAAUAUUAAAGCUUCGGCACUUGAUGAUGGGUGUGCGGCUGAUUAGAUAGUUGGCGGGUAACGGCCCACCAAGUCUACGAUCAGUAGCUGAUGUGAGAGCAUGAUCAGCCACACGGGCACUGAGACACGGGCCCGACUCCUACGGGAGGCAGCAGUAAGGAAUAUUGGACAAUGGACGAAAGUCUGAUCCAGCCAUGCCGCGUGAAGGAUUAAGGUCCUCUGGAUUGUAAACUUCUUUAUAUGGGACGAAAAAGGGCAUUCUUGUUCACUUGACGGUACCAUAUGAAUAAGCACCGGCUAACUCCGUGCCAGCA